AACCCAUGGUGAGGGCAUAUUCUUAGUAAGUCUUUAUACCUCUCCUAUGCGUCGUAUAAAGUUUCUAAAUCCAUCUGCACAAAAGAAGAGAUAUUGUUCCUCAAUUU
Gossypium hirsutum (cotton) is the source of this 107-nucleotide non-coding RNA. Lineage: Eukaryota; Viridiplantae; Streptophyta; Magnoliopsida; Malvales; Malvaceae. The record is from Rfam.